CGAGUAAAUCAGAUAAUCGCGGCCACAGGUAACUGUGGACGAGGAAAGUCCGAGCUCCAUAGGGCAGGGUGCUGGGUAAUACCCAGUGGAGGUGACUCCAAGGAAAGUGCAACAGAGAGAUACCGCCUUUUACAUCUGUAAAAGGUAAGGGUGGAAAGGUGAGGUAAGAGCUCACCAGCAGCUAGGCGACUAGUUGGCUAUGUAAACCCCAUCUGGAGCAAGACCAAGUAGGGACAGAAAAACGGCGGCCCGUCGUGUCCCGUGGUAGGUCGCUUGAGUCAAUUGGCAACAAUUGACCUAGAUAGAUGAUUAUCGAAUACAGAACUCGGCUUAUAGAUUUGCUCGCUUU
RNAcentral lists this RNase P RNA (349 nucleotides) under Andreesenella formicacetica. RNAcentral's name for it is "Clostridium formicaceticum RNase P RNA component class A". It matches the Rfam family "Bacterial RNase P class A". From Rfam's summary of the family: Ribonuclease P (RNase P) is a ubiquitous endoribonuclease, found in archaea, bacteria and eukarya as well as chloroplasts and mitochondria. The record is from RNAcentral. Lineage: Bacteria; Bacillati; Bacillota; Clostridia; Peptostreptococcales; Natronincolaceae.